AAAGGAAGACAGAUGCAAUACCCAGACUUUGAACUAUCUGUAUCCUUAAAAUGUGGAAUCAACAGAAUUGUUUCUGAAGGCUCUGCCUCUGGACAUCAGAAGAGUCAGAUGACAUGUCACCGGAAAAAGUGUGUACAGCAUGAAGGCACAUGGAAGAAAAUUCCCACUGUUGAAAUGAUCCAGGAGGAAUGACUUCACAGGCUGUAAAAUAUUGCUCCUGCCCUGGCAAAAAUUUUUAAUAAAGCUGGAUAUUUUUAGCACUAAAGUCAAAUUUGUCUUUAGCAUCCUCCCCAUCUUAGAAACAGGCUUGAAUAAACGAUUCCUGUCACACAAGAAAA
Molecule: long non-coding RNA, 338 nt
Organism: Neopelma chrysocephalum (saffron-crested tyrant-manakin)
Lineage: Eukaryota; Metazoa; Chordata; Aves; Passeriformes; Pipridae
Exons: 2
Source: RefSeq, a predicted model, not a curated record